This is a long non-coding RNA of Lycium barbarum (goji berry), 13679 nucleotides long. RefSeq lists it as uncharacterized. NCBI's taxonomy places the organism in Eukaryota, Viridiplantae, Streptophyta, Magnoliopsida, Solanales, Solanaceae. The transcript is spliced from 2 exons. The record is from RefSeq and is a predicted model, not a curated record.
AUGAAACACGAGAUAUAUGCAUGGAUAAGAAUACCAAUUUUUUAAAGUAAAAAUGGAAACUGUUUUGGAUUGGUUUGCCUUGGAUAAAAAGGCUUGAAAUUAAUUUUGAGACUUAAAGGAUCAAAAGGAUGAUUUCAUGAAAUAGUAUUAUAGACGAAAAAAAUGGAUUUCAAAAUAGGGAAAGACUUAAGUAUUUUCAAAUCUUUUGGGGCUCACGCCCAAACCUUAAGUCAUUCAAACAAAGAAGAUAUACUUGAACUUUAGUUUGAAGAAGGGUUUUAAGUGGGAUAUGGUUGACCUUAAAAAAAAUAAAGAAAUUGAAUAAAGUACUAUGAGGCUUUUAUAUCUACUUGUAUAAAUAAUGACAUACUUUCAAAAGAGAUACACUUAUCUGUUGCUAAAAAAGUUUAUAAGGACCAAAGACAUGACAUUGGACCAAAGAGUGGAACUGUACUUAAGAGGAAUCUUAAGUGUAUUUUGGUCCGGAAAUGAAAUAACUUUAAACCCUUAUACAUAUUUUCAAAAGAAAUCUAACUCUUUAUUAAUAAAGGAAUUUUUACCAAUAGGAAAAAUGUUUAUUAUAUGCCAUGUAGUUUUAAAAGAAAGAAACCCAUUUUAGCAAAUAAUUACACUUAAUCACACAUUAAAGCACGAAGUUCAACCGUAUUCUACGGAUCCUUAAUACUAGGGUGCUUAAAACCUUUCCUAGGGGAUCACCAGAAUCCUUACCUCGAACUCCGAUUUUUAAAGGAUUUUUCACUUAUUUGUAUAAACCCUUAACUUGGUUUUCAUAAUUUCCCUCAGUAAAUUAGGUGGCGACUCUAAAAAUACGAAAAUCCAAAUUGAGUCCACAAUCUCGAAGUAGAUUUUAUGCCUCGAGUAAAAGUGAACCGUAACAGAUGGCGACUCCGCAGAGGAUUUUUCUAGGUUCUAACCAUAAGAGUUUCAAUAUAAUGUGAAUUAAUUGUGAUUGUUUGCUUAAUUGUUAACUUUCUUGUAUGUAUAACUUCCAUGGCAUGCAUAUGAUAAAUUCCGCCACCUCUGGCGAAAACUGCAUGUCUUCAAAGAGGACACGCGGGCUAGCGGUCUUGCCUUCACUAAAAAACCCAAAACAUUUCUUUGGAACACAUUGAACGCGGAGUUGGUACGGGGUCUGUCACGCCCCAACUCGGGGAAAGUGCGAGCACCUACUGUUUCCUAUUUGGGUAGGCGAACCCAUCCUUUAUGCAACCAAUCAUGAGGAAAUAACAAAUGAAUAAAUGAAUGAAAACCCCAGGAAUAAUACAAUAAGUCUAACAUAAUAUAUAAAUACUAAGUGCGGAAGAUAAACCAAUCCCAAAAAUCUGGUCUGAUCAUUACAAGAGCUACUAAAUACUACUACAAGUCUGAAUAGUCAAAUACAUCAUCUAAAAUACAUGUUGUCUCGAAAUAGAAAUGGGACAAUAAAGAAGAUAGAGUCGUGGGCUACAUGGAUAAUCCAUAGCUCACCCUUAGAACUCUAGGAACGCCGCCUCGGGAUCAGUCGCGAUGUGUGGAAGUCUCCCUAACAACGAACUCUGCACUCAUAAAAAGAAUACAACAAGUUAGCAUCAGUACAAAACACGGUACUGAGUAAGCAUCAUAGGCCGACAACAGUUAGAUCACGCAUGCAAACAAGGAAACAGAACGAUAAUCUUGCUCACAGACAAAUAUAAGUCAACAAGUACAAAUAAUGUAAUCAAUUACCAAACCAUGUCUCAAAUGUUUCAAAAUUCCAAACAUAACCAAACAAUCAACCAAUAACUCAAAUAUCACCGAAGAUCAAUAUCAAUCCAAAUGACAAUAAGAACAUAUACUAUGAAUGCAUAUGGAAUGCAAUGCAAUGAUACACACAUGCUCUGGGGGUACGAUGUCCACCAAUCGACAGUCAUGACCCAUGGGGGACCGCUAAGUCUAUGUAUCGUCAUCCCGUAUCACACAACCUACAAUAACUUCUCCAUCCAAAUCGUUGCUAACCACUCCGUACCACAUAGCAUAGAGAUGGCUCCCCAAAUAUAGCAAUAUCGCAUGAAUCAUACUUACCUCCGUUAUCACCAUUUUCCAAUAUCAAGACCAAGACAAAUAUAUAUUAUGGAUAUAAGAAGGUAUGCCAUGUAAUGAGAAUAUCAUAAAUAACAUAUGUGUCACACCCUAACCUUGGUAAGGCAUGACUGGCACUCGGCACCCUACGGGAACCGAGUGAACCAACUGUAACUCACGUUUUCUGUAUCUCGAAAGGAAACAAGACCAAGGUACUAUAAGCCAUAGGGGCACAAGCCCAAAAGAUAACAUACUUACUUCUUCAAACUAAUCUCGAGUGCAUGUCCCGGUAAGGCUAUCCUUAAUAAUGAUACAACAUAGUACAAGUCGAGUUAAUUCUAAGAUAUCUAACUGUGCAUAUCUGUCUACGAGCCUCUAUAAGAGUACAUGACAUAAAGUGGCCAGAACAGGGCCCCGCCAUAACCAUUCCAAUGCAUAUGCAGCCAUCCUGACUCACAGGGCAACUCCGAAGCAAAUGAAGCGCCACGACCCUGCUUGCUGAGCUAGUAUCCUUACUGAAAGAUCUGUCAAGCUGUAUCUCAAGACCUUCGGGCAUGAAACGCAGCGCCCCCAGCAAAGGGACGUCAGUACGAGCAAUGUACUGAGUAUUUAAGGCGGAAAGUGCAACAAAAUAGCCAUAUACUAAAGAUGAGAAGAAUAAGAGUCAACCUUGCAUUUUUGAACUACCGAUGGAAAUCUAGCAUAUGUGUACAUACCUCAUCAUCUUCUUGUAAUCUUUACUAGGUCUGUAUACCCUACCAUAGUCCUGGUUACCUUAUCAUCAAACGUUAUCUAAACAUGCGUUGCGGUGUGCAACCCGAUCCAUAUAUGAUACCUAUCGCUCUAUACUCUCGCAUGCUUAACCAAAGCUAUGUACAAUUCUGUGCCUUUAUCUUACUAAUAAUCCAAUACUAACUGCCCAACUGAUCAGUGGUAACUGCCCGACCGGCUGCAGUCCGGUGGUAAUAACCGCCCGUCCGGUUAUCGCCCGACGGUAGAGCGCAACUGCCCGACCGGCCGUAGCACGGUGGUAACUGCCCGACUAGCUGCAGUCCAGUCGUAAAUAUAUACAUCUGCUCAACUAGUCGUAGACCAGUGGUAAUUAUAAUCAACAUCAUAACUAAGCUUCUACAAGUAAUCUCUAUGCACUUCUCAUGGUCUUCACUUAACCCGUAGUGUCUACAUAAUCAUAUAAGCCUUAUAAGCACAUCUAUGGCCAUUAGUACUUCUUUCCACUUGACUAGGCUAUAACCAAAUACUAAGAUCCAACAUGAACCUCUCUUCGAACAUUUACUACCUCAUUAGAGAUCCUCUGCUAUCACUCUACUCAUGUCCUAUAAGGCAUUCCUUAAGAACCUGUUCCUAAACUCAUUAGAUUAUUAUUAUGGAACCGUCAUCAUGAACAUGUCUCACCUUAAAGGAACAAAGUCAUAAGAUGAGAUCAACAUGAAUGAAUAACAUCAAUAGCCAUGAAACAAGCUCAUGGAUAUCACAAGAACAUCGGGAACUGUAAGCUUUGGUACUUUUAGAAAUGAGUUUAUCGAAGAUAUCAUAUAUAGGUUCACAACAAAGGAAUCAUGCCUUAAGAAAGAAAGGUUUAGCCUUAACAUACCUGGAAUCUUGCUCCUUGACCUUCCUACUUAUCUCAUGACUUGUAAUCUACAUAUAAAUUCGUUCAUACUAUUAAUAGGCUCACCAUCAUACACUUGUCUUAAGCCUUUAAUUAAAAUCCCUUUAGAAUCUGCUGAAAUUCGGGCAGCAUCUCCCCUGUUUAUAUGCCUAACCUGAAAUCUCAAUUCAGCAACCAACAAUAACAACAACAACAAUACCAACAUCAACAACAAUAUUAUCAACACCAAAAUAUUCCAUAAACAUCUCACACGAUGUUUUAUCCAAUUUCUCGACCCAUAAAUUCAUUAUACGCUCAUUUAGUAACUUUUCCUCCGUAGAUAAGCUUAAAUCAUUACUAAUAAGGAAAGAUUCAUACCUUUCACCCGUUAGAAUUGCAAUAUCUUCAAUUAUCACCUUGAAUCCAAGACAAGUUUCGCCGCAAUUCGAUAUUACAAUCACAGCUAUGUAUUGUCCAAACUUAAAUUCGGGGAUUUCACUUAAUUUGCAUUGAAAUCUAAUGGACGGAAGUUGGGAGAGUUUUCUAGAGAAUUUGGGAAAUAUUUGGAGUGUUCUAGGCUGAAAAAAUGGGGUUUAGGAUCAGAUUUGAUCCUUAAAUAGUGGGUCAAAUUCGGGUCGGGUCACUGUAGUAUGUCGGUUACUGUAGCAGUUACGGUGGCAGUCCGGUUACUGUAGCAGCGUUUCUGCUCUGUCUGCCUAACUUGUAACGUCCAUAAUUUUUUACUUCAAUGCCAUAUCGACGAGCGGUUUGUUGCGCUGGAAACUAGACAUGACGAAAUUUAUUUUAGGCUUUUACUUUGCUUUAAAAAACCUCAUCUACAAAAUGAUAUUCUUUCUCCAAGUUGGGCUAAAAUUACCCCUCAUAUUCUCUUCCAAGUUCCAACAAAUUUAAUUUCCUUAAUUCACUUGCCCUUUAAUCCUUCCAUAGCUUACUAUAUGCACUUAAACCCUUAUAAUCAUAAGUUAAACACAUAUAGGCUCACAUACCUCCUGAAAGGUAGCUUGCAUCUCAACAUACGAAACUACGGGGUGUAACAAUAUGGAUUCCAGUCAAUUCAUAUUAGUACAGCCAUCAUAGUACAAAUAUCACAUGAAUUAGUUCUUUCUAACCAUUCUUCCAUAAUACAUAGAAACCACCAAUUCUCAUAAGAAAUCCUGGCAUAAACCUAAGGAUUCUACAAUCCACGUGCCCAAACACACAAGUCACACAAUACUACCAACCGAAGAAUUCCAUUCCAAACUUCACACCCGAAGGUUUACAUGAUGUCUCCAACAAUUUCCAUGUACUACAUACAAGUCGCCAAUAGAAGUCUAACCAAAAGGUAAGUCAUAACCUACUUGGACUGCCGAACAGGAAUCCCAAGCAAUCACACGGGUGCCUUGCUCUUCCUCAAUGCCUCCUAUUACACCUCGAAAAGUUUUCGCGUCGUUUAAAUCUUAAGUAAACUAGAGUAAGCUCGGAGAGAUCAUGGCACCCUAAUAAGGUUAAUGAAUAAUCUUAACAAGUGUCAAACAAGUGCCUAAAGGUUCCGAGACUAAGCAAAUCGAAGAAAAUCAAUUUGUCAAAAAAUUAUGAAACAAAGUUGCCAGAAUUUUGGGCAAAUUUUUAGUCAAUUUUGGAGGGGUAUAUUGUUUAUCCCGUAUUUUGUACGUCGAAUUAUUCAUAAGCUAAUCGACAUAAGCUAAGGACGAGACUAUUUUGGGAUGUGAAAUAAAGUGCUUUUAAUCCUCGAUUUUAAUUAGUGCACGAUUUGUUAUAAAUUUCAAUUAGUAUAGAAAUAUUAAUGGAGAUUAGGGAUUAACUAACCAUGAUUAGAUAAUUAAGCAGGGAUUAAGAUUAAUUAAGUUAGCUAAUUAUAUAAUUAAGGUGGGCCCCACCCGAUUCUUUAAUUUAAAAAAAAUACAAAAUAAAACAAAACAAAUUGAUGAGUCAUUAAGGGGGGGCACGUGUCCAAGGGAGGGACACCAUAUAUAAGAUUAGGUUAAUGAUCAACUUAGGUUAUCAUUUUCAUUCUACAAAUUGAAAGCUUAAGAAAAAAAAAACAUUGCCAUGGCUGCUGAGCUCUCGGCUAGCCAUGGUUGUUAAGAAAUUUUUUUUCUUGCUUUGAUUAAUUUUUAAGGAUAUUUUCAAGUCCAAGGAGGUGAUAGCAACAUUGGGUAUUGAAUUGAGGAAGAAGAAAUAGUGAAAUUGGUGCAAGUGGGUAUAGAAUUUGCUCCGAUUAAAUUAAGGUAAGAUUUUCUCAUUUUAUGGUAUAAUUGGAUUAAUGGUGUUGUAAUGGAAAGAUUAAAAUUUUAUUAGAUGAAAUUGGAAGUAAGAAAUUGUAUGAAUUCGUUGAUAUUAGGAGUUGUGGUUGUUAUAUGGAAUUGUUGAGUUGAAAGAUUAAAAGUGUGGUUUAUGUUCAUAUGUUGUUGUCGUGUUGUCGUUGAUAUGGCUUCUAAAUUUGGAAGAAAGAAGUGUAUAACGUAUCGUAUACAAGCGUAUGUUGGUUUGUUUGGUGUAUAAUCUUAAAUGUUAAUGAUUUGGGUUGGAAAAGGAUUAAGAAAGGUUAUUGGGUUGUUUGAGUUGUUUAUGGGCUGGAUUUUAAGGAUUUGAUAUGAAUGUUUCUAUUACUGUUGUUGUUGGUAUUGCUGUGAUAAGAGGAGAUUAAUUGGAAGUUCGGGUUAGGCGAGUUAUAUAGGGGAAAUGCUGCCCGAUUUCCGUUAAGUUCUUAACUAACAAAAAUCCUAAUCAAGAAAGUAUGAACUAAAGAAUGAUUCCUAUAAGCGAUUGGUUGUAGAUUUAUAAGCUAGAAAGUAUAGUUUACUAACAAUAGCGUUACUUUCAUAUUAAAUAGGCUAAAGGGGCGACGAAGCGAACUUGGUUACGGUUAACCUAUAACAUGUAUGUAAAGCUAACCCUUCUUUCUUUUUGGCAUGAUCUUUAUGAAACAAGCAGGCGACAUGUAUAUGAUUCCAAAGAAGUUCCUAUUCUUAGAUCCACUAGGAUGGCUAAUGUUCUUGAUUUCUAGAAGCUAUUUCAUUAUGUCUUGAUACGUGUCUAUGAUUCCAGAAGUUCUAUUUUGAUAUAAUCCAUAGUGACAUUCGAAGGGUACUUGAUAUGAUUAUUGUCUUGAUUAUCAAAUGAUGGUUCAUUUUGAUUAUUCUAUUGAGUCUCAGAUAUGAUUUAGUUUGCAUAUGGUUUCUCACUACUCUGCUUAUGCAUGCCUCAAUAUGUCUUUCACCAAGUCCCGGGCCGGGUAUGUUAUCGUGCACAGUUUCACUGCAUUGUUCACCGAGUCCCUCACUAGAGGGCCGGGUACGGUAUAUAUAUAUAUAUAUAUGAUGAUAUGAUGACAUGAUGAUAUGAUGAUAUGAUGAUAUGAUGAUGUGAUUAUGGCGCCAAGGAUGGCAUAUGAUGACUUUAUUCACCGAGUCCCAUAAUGGGCCGGGUAUGAUAUAUGAUAUUGACAUGCAUGAUUUACAUCUCAUAAGGCAAGUGUAAUGGUAUCUUUGAUUGACAUACUUGUCUCUUGUAAUCUCUAUUUCAGUGAUGAUCCUUUUUAUUGUAUUUCAUGCUGUAUAUACUCAGUACAUAUCUCGUACUGACCCCCUUUCUUCGGGGGGCUGCAUUUCAUGCCCGCAGGUAACGACACUCGAUUCAGUGAUCCCCAGCUUAGGAUUUCCAGUCAGCUGUCUUCGAGAGCUCCAUUGUCCCGGAGCCUAGACUUUUGGUAGGUGCAGAUUGGCGAGAGAUGAAAAGGUCAGCUUCAGAUAGUGGGGGUGCUAAGAAGGCCCCUAGAGUAAAUUCAGGACUCCAGGCUCCAGGAUCGAGCAGGAGGAGCCUCAGUUAUUCUAUCGAGACUGACCCAUCGGAGGACCCAGUGACAAUUCCUCCAGAAUUUUUGAUAUCUAGGGAGGCGAUCCCCGAGGCCAUACCAGUUGCUCCUAUGGAAGAGCAUCACGUUAGACCGGGUACCCCAGUAAGUGUUGCAGAUUACUCCAGCCCCCUAUCCUAGCCAUCGGUAAACUAGGAGUUGCCCGGUUAUCUACAUUCGUCGGACUCAGAUGAGGAAGACGAUAAAGGCCAGACGAGUAGAUGGCGGGCAGACGAUGACGAGUAGCACACUUCACCUCCUAGAUCACCAGAUCAGAUUAGAGAUCGAUCAACCAGAGGUAUACGAGACUUUAUUGAAAUCUCCUGUGUAUGUACAUUUGCUAUAGAUUAUUAACUAAUAGCGGCAAGCGGAAAUUGAAGGGGCCGACAACUAAGUAUUUAUAAGUAACGGCGACCAAGGUGUUUCCAUCACCAUCGGAAUUUUGAAAUCUAGGGUAGAAAGUAGACGUACGUACAGGUGUAAGUUGAAUAUUGAGGUUACGUCAUGAGAAUUUCUAUGUACAAAAUGGCAAACUGGCCAUCAUCAUGGUAAGUUAUUGUAAGUAUAGUAAGAAAAUGGAUUGAAUGUAUAUAUAUUGUUGAUAAGUUCAGUUAUAAGGUGCGCACAGAGGAAGCUGAAGGAAUCAGUAACGGUAAGCAGAAUAUAUGUCAGAUAUAGUGUGAAUGUUGCAAGUAUGAUUGAAAUCUGCAGUUAAAGAUUGAAAGGGAAAGUAAACAGGAAAGUAUAAUAGGUACAGUUCGAGUUGGACAUACGAGGUAAGUUCAUCAUUUUCAUACUGUUAUUGAUAUGUGGAGCCCUGUGCAGCUAUGAUACGAUAUGAUAUAUACAUAUAUAUGUUGGCCCUGUGAGGCAUUGUUGGUAUUUCCUGUGUGCAGGUUUUGGGAUAAGUAAGAAAUACAGAGGAAACUCUGCCAAAAUUUUCCUAGAAAUAAAAAGAGAAUGAGAUAUUAGUUCGUGAUAUUCUUGAAAGGUCGUGUCAACAGUAAUGAUAAGAUUUGACUAAGUUGCAAGUACGUCUGACUUCGAGAAAUAAAGUUAACGGUUGAAUUAAUAGUAAAGGUAAUUAUGAGAUCGAGAUCAAUAGGGUAAAUUUAUCAUGUUGGAUUAAAGCUUUUAGAGAUACCCUCCAUGUCAUCCGUAAGAGACAUCACUCUUAUUUGGGAAACUUGAUUUCAAAGAAGCAAAUAUGAGCAGCAGAGUUUGGAAUUCAUGUGAACGGACAAGAAUACUUUCCAGCCACAAUUUUACCUUAGAAAAAGCUCAUGUGGAAGAGCAAAGACGUCCAACAAUUAAGUUUCACUUUUAUUUGAAGAAUACAAAGCAUACAGCAAGUAGACUAUGAACUAAAUAGUUCAUUCACGACCCAAGAACAAAUCUGGAUGUAAGCCAUGUGAAUCAAGCAUUAGAAAGUCCCGUGGUGCUUGUCGGAUUCUAGUUCUUCUUCUUGUGGUGGUUUUGGAAGAUGCUUCAUGGUGACGUAAUUUAGGAGUUGGAGCGUUCUUGUGUUCUUGAGAUAACAUUUCAUCAUAUCUUUAUGUCCUUGAGUUUAUUAGUUCUUAAUCAACUAAUUGAAGAUGGAAUUUGUAGAAGGAAAACUCAAACUUGUGGGCUGUCUUAGAUCAUGUGUUUCAUGUGUUGUUAAUGAAAUGCUUGGAUAAAUUGGGAAGAGCUUGUGAUACUAAGGGAUGAUGUAGAAAGAGUUGGCAAAUCUUACCAGAAUGUUUUAUUGAGGUAUCGAGUGAACUGAUAACUAGGGAUAAAUUACGACGAGUUUACGGUUAAAAGGAGUAAUAGUAUGAUUGAGAAUUUAGAACGACUACAAGUACUAAAUAAUUAUUGAUUGGAGUAAGUGGAAUGUGGCCUUGGAUGAGUUGCUACAUUGGUUGGAUUACUCGAGUACGAAUUAUCACAUAAGAUUUUAUACUAUAUGUGGAAAGGUUCUCAUCGCUUCACGAUUUUGUUAAGGUUUCGUGGAUAAUCAAAGUUAUAUAUUAUAAAGAAAGACAUUAGUAUGGUACAGUAUACCGAGUGAAUUGGAAGAAGGAUCGGGUGAAUUUGAGAUUGGAAAUAGGGAUAUUUAGCAGAAUAUAAACAGAUAAUGGUAUAAGUACAACCCCAAAGGGGGAAGUGGGUGAAAGCAAAGCAAGUAUAAAUGGAAACAAUUGACACUACAAUAUAUUUAAUAUAGAUGCUCAAACAUCAAGUGAGAUCCCAUGCUGAAACAAGUUAGUAAGAUCUGAAAGCCAGCAAUGAAUGGAUAGAAAUCAGGAUGAUAUUUAAGAUGGUGCGGAGAAGCAUCUGUAAAGAUCUUAAAUGAUAUGGCAUUAGAAAGUGGGUGCUUAUAAAAAGGAAGAAUACGACAAGAAAAUGGUAACGAGUAACUUAAGAGAUAUUGUAAAGGAUAGCAAUGCUAUACUGGAUUAGAUGUUAAGAUGUUGGCAACGGAGUGUUUGCUAAUGGUAUUGUGACUUAUAAGUAGCAAAAGGAAGGGAUAGAAAAUAUCCUACAGUAGAAUAUGAGAAAAUCAAAGGGGUGAAUAAAGGAAGGAAAGGAGUAUGAUAAGAUAGGCUACGAGCGAGUUUUAAUACGGAUGAGAUAUGUAAAGCAGAAUGAACCGGGAGGAGGAAAAGCUAGAACUAAGAUUGGAUAUAUUUUAUACAAGUUAUACAAGAAUAGUUAAACAACCUACGAGUAUUUGUAUGCUAAGAAUGAGACCAAGUGAGUAAUUGAUAAGAAUGAGUAAGGAUUCAGUAAUAACAAUGCGGUUGCGAUAUUUUGGAUACAUUAAGGAAAGGUAUAAGAUGGUUUGAACCAAAGUACCGAGAUAGGAUUAGUACUGAGGGAAAAAGCCAUAGUUGAGCCCCGAUAUCAAUUGAAAGAUACAUGAGAAGAAUGUAAGGUCUGCAUAAAGACUACUGAGACGACGCUAAGAAAUCUCUUGGGCUCAUUUCAGCACUUACGCAUAUUCUGACGCGUGAUAGGGGGACUAAGAGCAAAAUCUGAGUAAAGGGGCAAUAGAAGAGUUUGAAGUAAAAGAUAAAGAAAUGACACGAGAUAAUAUGCCUAAAGUGUUAUAAGUUGGAUUAAGGGAAAUGGUCUAAGCGAGACGAUCAGAACAAGCGGGUUACUAGAUGACAGUGAAUUUAUAUGUCAAAUCAAAAGAAAUUCUUUCAGAAUUAUACCAGGUAAUGAUAGUCAGAUCACAGAGCAGCUAUGUAAAGUUAUAAAAUGAGGAAACUCCAGCGCUACUUGAUAGCCAACUCUAAGGAUUGAGAUUAAGAGCUAAAAGCAAAGUGACAGUUAAAAACCUUUAAAAGAAAGUCGAAGAGUGACACAUGAUGCUGAAGAUUCCAGAAUACGGACUGUAACAUCAGAGCAAAGCAAGGUUAUUGGAGUAAAAUGAUGUUACACCUUGAGAAAUUUCAUUUUAUUCGUAGAGUCUGUGAAGGGUUUACAGGUUACCAGAGGCAUGAAAUACUCCAAGGAUUGUAAAGACUAAUAAAUCAACGAGGAACGUCUGAGCAUUAUAAAAUCUUAUUUAAAGAUUAAGAGGUAAGAUGAAAUGAACGAUACAUCUUAAGGGAGUAACUAUAGGAGAAGAAAGAGAGCCAAGUUACGACUAAGAGCACCAUGAAUACAAGUUAGAAUCAAUCUGUGCUAGUAUAACUGAGCAGUAUGCAGACAAGACAGAAAGUAACAUUUCAGCAGAAGAGCUGGCAAUACAACUGUCAACCAUAAAGACAACGACGUGGAAUUACUACCUCGGGAAGCAACAUAAAGAGGAAAAAUUACGGAAAUGGUUACUUGGGGAUCUGGAAUGCAUUAUAACAAAUUGAAGGGAAUCGACCGAUGAAAGAGUCAUGUGAAGAGUAUAAUUCAGUGAAAGAAUGUUUAAGGAAGUAUUGGGAGUGCAAGAUUAGUAUAACAUUCGAGGACGAAUGUUCCAAAGGGGGGAAGAAUGUUAUACGCCGUAUUUUGUACGUCGAAUUAUUCGUAAGCUAAUCGACAUAAGCUAAGGACGAGACUAUUUUGGGAUGUGAAAUAAAGUGCUUUUAAUCCUCGAUUUUAAUUAGUGCACGAUUUGUUAUAAAUUUCAAUUAGUAUAGAAAUAUUAAUGGAGAUUAGGGAUUGACUAACCAUGAUUAGAUUAUUAAGCAGGGAUUAAGAUUAAUUAAGUUAGCUAAUUAUAUAAUUAAGGUGGGCCCCACCCGAUUCUUUAAUUAAAAAAAUACAAAAUAAAACAAAACAAAUUGAUGAGUCAUUACGGAGGGGGGCAAGUGAGUAUAGAAUUUGCUCCGAUUAAAUUAAGGUAAGAUUUUCUCAUUUUAUGGUAUAAUUGGAUUAAUGGUGUUGUAAUGGAAAGAUUAAAAUUGUAUUAGAUGAAAUUGGAAGUAAGAAAUUGUAUGAAUUCGUUGAUAUUAGGAGUUGUGGUUGUUAUAUGGAAUUGUUGAGUUGAAAGAUUAAAAGUGUGGUUUAUGUUCAUAUGUUGUUGUCGUGUUGUCGUUGAUAUGGCUUCUAAAUUUGGAAGAAAGAAGUGUAUAACGUAUCGUAUACAAGCGUAUGUUGGUCUGUUUGGUGUAUAAUCUUAAAUGUUAAUGAUUUGGGUUUGAAAAGGAUUAACAAAGGUUAUUGGGUUGUUUGAGUUGUUUAUGGGUUGGAUUUUAAGGAUUCAAUAUGAAUAUUUCUAAUAAUAUUGUUUUUGGUAUUGCUGUGAUAACAGGAGAUUAAUUGGAAGUUCGGGUUAGGCGAGUUAUAUAGGGGAAAUACUGUCGGAUUUCCGUUAAGUUCUUAACUAACAAAAAUCCUAAUCAAGAAAGUAUGAACUAAAGAAUGAUUCCUAUAAGCGAUUGGUUGUAGAUUUAUAAGCUAGAAAGUAUAGUUUACUAACAAUAGCGUUACUUUCAUAUUAAAUAGGCUAAAGGGGCGACGAAGCGAACUUGGUUACGGUUAACCUAUAACAGGUAUGUAAAGCUAACCCUUCUUUCUUUUUUGCAUGAUCUUUAUGAAACAAAUAGACGGCAUGUAUAUGAUUCCAAAGAAUUUCCUAUUAUUAGAGCCACUAGGAUGGCUAAUGUUCUUGAUUUCCAGAAGUUAUUUCAUUAUGUCUUGAUACGUGUCUAUGAUUCCAGAAGAUCUAUUUUGAUAUAAUCCAUAGUGACAUUCGAAGGGUACUUGAUAUGAUUAUUGUCUUGAUUAUCAAAUGAUGGUUCAUUUUGAUUAUUCUAUUGAGUCUCAGAUAUGACUUAGUUUGCAUAUGGUUUCUCCCUACUCUGCUCGUGCACGCCUCAAUAUGUCUUUCACCGAGUCCCGGGCCGGGUAUGUUAUCAUGCACAGUUUCACUGCAUUGUUCACCGAGUCCCUCACUAGAGGGCCGGGUACGGUAUAUAUAUAUAUAUAUGAUGAUAUGAUGACAUGAUGAUAUGAUGAUAUGAUGAUAUGAUGAUGUGAUUAUGGCGCCAAGGAUGGCAUAUGAUGACUUUAUUCACCGAGUCCCAUAAUGGGCCGGGUAUGAUAUAUGAUAUUGACAUGCAUGAUUUACAUCUCAUAAGGCAAGUGUAAUGGUAUCUUUGAUUGACAUACUUGUCUCCUGUAAUAUCUAUUUCAGUGAUGAUCGUUUUUAUUGUAUUUCAUGCUUUAUAUACUCAGUACAUAUCUCGUACUGACCCCCUUUCUUCGGGGGGGGGGGGGGUGCGUUUCAUGCCCGCAGGUACAAACACUCAAUUCGGUGAUCCCCCAGCUUAGGAUUUCUAGUCAGCUGUCUUGGAGAGCUCCAUUGUCCCGGAGCCUAGAAUUUUGGUACAAGAUCUUUUGAUGUAUAUAUAUAUAUAUAUAUAUGUUUAUCCAGGGGUACGACGGGGCCCUAUCCCAUCAUAUUUCACUAUCGAUACUCUUAGAGGUUUGUAGACAUACGUGUGGGUUGUGUAUAAGUUUGUACAGCUGUGUCUAUACGAUGUGCUAUGGAUAUGCCCUUCUGUAAUAGCAUCCUUGUCGGCUUGCGUAUCAUGUUGAUAUAUUGUGGCAGCCUUGUCGGCUUGCAUAUCAUAUUAUGUUCUGAUCAGUUGUGACUCCCCAGGAGACCGGUUAUUUGGAUAUAUGUACAUAUGAUGGUGUUAUGAA